RNAcentral lists this long non-coding RNA (427 nucleotides) under Homo sapiens (human). RNAcentral describes it as "HSALNT0338673". The record is from RNAcentral. Lineage: Eukaryota; Metazoa; Chordata; Mammalia; Primates; Hominidae.
CUACAAGUGAAGAAAGGCAUGCAUGGAACACUCAUUUAAAAGGAGGGGACGCUGGUACAAGGGCUGAGACUAGAAGGGGUCGACAGAAUGGCUGAAUGUUUUCCAUCCUACGGACCAUACAUUACAGAGAUGUGAAAAUAAGGGCAUCUUUUUCUCCCAUUAGUGCUGACAGCCUAACAAGAACAGGGCCCCCAGAUGGCUCUUUGCAUCCAUUCCAUUCCUUUCUCCCUUCACUGAGCAGCAAGGAUGCAACAGAGAGCUCCAAGCUUCCUGGAAGGAGGGAAGAAAAGACGGGCAGCAGGAACUCCUGUUAUCUAAGCUGAACCGGUUUCACACAUCAGCACUGAACGCUGGCAUUUCCAGGCAGUCAGGUUCUGCCAAGUGUCCGAUGGUGGCCUCUUCCCCCAAGAGCCGUGUUCUGGGGCCU